ACGGAGGAUCCAAGCGUUAUCCGGAUUUAUUGGGUUUAAAGGGUGCGCAGGCGGAUCAAUAAGUCGGGGGUGAAAACUUUCGGCUCAACUGGAGUCGUGCCUUUGAUACUGUUGGUCUAGAGUACGAGAGAGGUGAGUGGAAUUCCGUGUGUAGAGGUGAAAUUCGUAGAUAUUGGGAGGAACGCCAGUGGCGAAGGCGGGUCACUGGAUUGAUACUGACGCUGAGGUGCGAAAGCGUGGGGAUCAAACAG
This 251-nucleotide ribosomal RNA is filed under the name uncultured prokaryote. RNAcentral's name for it is "partial 16S rRNA". It matches the Rfam family "Bacterial small subunit ribosomal RNA", at positions 525 to 775 of the family's 1533-position model. The record is from RNAcentral.